GACGAACGCUGGCGGCGUGCUUAACACAUGCAAGUCGAACGGAAAGGCCCUGCUUUUGUGGUGUGCUCGAGUGGCGAACGGGUGUAUAACACGUGAGUAACCUGCCCUUGACUUUGGGAUAACUUCAGGAAACUGGGGCUAAUACCGGAUAGGAGCUCCUGCUGCAUGGUGGGGGUUGGAAAGUUUCGGCGGUUGGGGAUGGACUCGCGGCUUAUCAGCUUGUUGGUGGGGUAGUGGCUUACCAAGGCUUUGACGGGUAGCCGGCCUGAGAGGGUGACCGGCCACAUUGGGACUGAGAUACGGCCCAGACUCCUACGGGAGGCAGCAGUGGGGAAUAUUGCACAAUGGGCGGAAGCCUGAUGCAGCAACGCCGCGUGCGGGAUGACGGCCUUCGGGUUGUAAACCGCUUUCGCCUGUGACGAAGCGUGAGUGACGGUAAUGGGUAAAGAAGCACCGGCUAACUACGUG
Molecule: ribosomal RNA, 468 nt
Filed under: uncultured bacterium
Lineage: Bacteria
Description: partial 16S ribosomal RNA
Rfam family: Bacterial small subunit ribosomal RNA
Source: RNAcentral